UUAAAUCCGUGUGUGUUUCAGACAGAUGGACGUCUCUAUUUCGGUACGUUUAUACAAUAUUAUAUAAAUUAAAAUAAUAAUUCACGAUUUUUUAAUUGAAUUAAUUUGUAACCAUGAAUAGAGUAAAAUAUAAACAUUAGUUUGUGCUAAGAGUGUACAAUAGGUAUUUGUAAGAAAAGACAGAGGCUUUUCCUUUUGGUCAGACCUUUAGACCCGGGGUUGAAGGGUGCAGUUACCGGACCACUGGGCACCCUACACGUAUUUUUUUUUCCAAGAUAGGCUUCUGUAGUUUUGUUUAUUUGAUUGCAUACUCCUUUUUUUUGUGUUGUUUUUUUUUUCAAUAGAUUGUGUUCAUAACUGUCUGAAUUUAUCAUGAAAUUCUGAAUUUGCUUCACUGUUAAAGUAAAUAACGGUUUCUUACCGAAAUCAGCGAUAAAAUAUCAUAAUCAAUAUGUCUUAGGUCCGAGUGAGAAGCCAUAAAGGAAAUAUUUACCCUAAAAGCUAAGAUAUGACAGCAAAGGCCUUUAUUAUAACUAUAUGUAAUUAUAACAAUUAGGGAUAUUUAGAAUAUCUAGUGGAUAAGGUGUCGGCUGCUGAGUUCAGGGUCGUGGGUUCAAGCCCCACUGGGGUAGCGGCCAUGGCUUCUCAGGCGGCACGUAUAGUAAAAGCUGGUAGGAACUACAUUUUGGACUAUUUUAUUACGCUUGCUGUAACCAGAUUUUCCUCCCUUUGCAAACGUUUUCCAUUUGCAUUCAUAACUGGAGAAUGGAGGAGAUGGAAGGUCCUUGUGCUGAAUUUAGUAAAGGUUUUUGUGCUGAAUUUAGUAAAACAGACCACCGGAGGAAGUGGUGAGAGACUGGCAAUGAUGUACUGAACGAGCAUGGUGGAAAGACAACAUAGUCUAAUGGGGUUUGUCAUUAGCCUAACAUGUGCAUAGCCUGCUUUGAUAGAGAGCCUUCAGGAUAUAUUUUCAUCUAUGUGACCUUACCGCCUGUAUAUUUUGUACAGUACAUAUUUUUAAAAACAAUGUAGGAAGAAAUACCCUAAAUGUGGAAGUAAAAUUGAAGCUGUCAGAAACAUUUAUAACUAGAAAGUAUUUGAUAAUAUAAUAGCAAUUCUGACAUAAGUACAAUCAAGGUAGAUACUUAAGAGCGGAAAGCAUUUUAAGUUGAACUGUUUAUUUCUUUCAAUGUAGGACACAAUGGAGAAUUGUUAACAUGCUUUUUGAAUUUGGAAUAUUAGAAACCGAUGCGUCUUUGAAAUUUAUUUAUACUGUGAACAGUAUUGGAUAUAAAGGCAACAUCAAUGUUAAGUUAUUGACAUCUUAUUUUUAUAUAACGUUGAACCAGCUAUAAAGAUUCAACCAUGGCUACAUCUUGUAUCUAUUAACUUACAGGACAUAAUGGAAUAUCUAUAAUGUUAAGUUUGUCUUUGAAUCAUAAUAUAUCAGGCGAACAAGAGUAAAAGUUGA
This is a long non-coding RNA of Mercenaria mercenaria, 1471 nucleotides long. RefSeq lists it as uncharacterized. The record is from RefSeq and is a predicted model, not a curated record. The transcript has 3 exons. Lineage: Eukaryota; Metazoa; Mollusca; Bivalvia; Venerida; Veneridae.